GAUGAACGCUGGCUACAGGCUUAACACAUGCAAGUCGAGGGGAAACGACGGGGAAGCUUGCUUCCCCGGGCGUCGACCGGCGCACGGGUGGGUAACGCGUAUCCAACCUGCCUCUGACUGAGGGAUAACCCGUCGAAAGUCGGCCUAAUACCUCAUGGCAUCGUCUGCGGGCAUCCAACGACGAUUAAAGAUUUCAUCGGUCAGAGAUGGGGAUGCGUCUGAUUAGCUUGUUGGCGGGGUAACGGCCCACCAAGGCGACGAUCAGUAGGGGUUCUGAGAGGAAGGUCCCCCACAUUGGAACUGAGACACGGUCCAAACUCCUACGGGAGGCAGCAGUGAGGAAUAUUGGUCAAUGGGCGAGAGCCUGAACCAGCCAAGUAGCGUGCAGGAUGACGGCCCUAUGGGUUGUAAACUGCUUUUAUGCGGGGAUAAAGUGAGGGACGUGUCCUUCAUUGCAGGUACCGCAUGAAUAAGGACCGGCUAAUUCCGUG
This 491-nucleotide ribosomal RNA is filed under the name uncultured bacterium. RNAcentral's name for it is "partial 16S ribosomal RNA". It matches the Rfam family "Bacterial small subunit ribosomal RNA", at positions 28 to 507 of the family's 1533-position model. The record is from RNAcentral.